GACGAACGCUGGCGGCGUGCUUAACACAUGCAAGUCGAACGGAAAGGCCCUGCUUUUGUGGGGUGCUCGAGUAGCGAACGGGUGAGUAACAAGUGAGUAACCUGCCCUUGCCUUUGGGAUAACUUCAGGAAACUGGGGCUAAUACCGGAUAGGAGCUCCUGCUGGAUGGUGGGGGUUGGAAAGUUUCGGCGGUUAGGGAUGGACUCGCGGCUUAUCAGCUUGUUGGUGGGGUAGUGGCUUACCAAGGCUUUGACGGGUAGCCGGCCUGAGAGGGUGACCGGCCACAUUAGGACUGAGAUACGGCCCAGACUCCUACGGGAGGCAGCAGUGGGGAAUAUUGCACAAUGGGCGGAAGCCUGAUGCAGCAACGCCGCGUGCGGGAUGACGGCCUUCGGGUUGUAAACCGCUUUCGCCUGUGACGAAGCGUGAGUGACGGUAAUGGGUAAAGAAGCACCGGCUAACUACGUG
This 468-nucleotide ribosomal RNA is filed under the name uncultured bacterium. RNAcentral's name for it is "partial 16S ribosomal RNA". It matches the Rfam family "Bacterial small subunit ribosomal RNA", at positions 28 to 507 of the family's 1533-position model. The record is from RNAcentral.